GAUGAAGAACGCAGCGAAAUGCGAUAAGUAACGUGAAUUGCAGAAUUCAGUGAAUCAUCGAAUCUUUGAACGCACCUUGCGCUCCUUGGUAUUCCGAGGAGCAUGCCUGUUUGAGUGUCAUUAAUAUAUCAACCUUCUCUUUUUUGAGUUGUUUGGAUGUGGGGGUUUGCUGGCCUCUUAAAUGAUUCAGCUCCCCUGAAAUGCAUUAGCAGAACAACCUGUUCAUUGGCGUGAUAAUUAUCUAUGCUAUUGAAUGUGAGGGCAGUUCAGCUUUCUAACCGUCCUUGGACAAUUCAUCAUUAAUGUGACCUCAAAUCAGGUAGGACUACCCGCUGAACUUAAGCAUAUCAAUAAGCGGAGGA
Molecule: unclassified non-coding RNA, 362 nt
Filed under: soil metagenome
Description: partial contains 5.8S ribosomal RNA, internal transcribed spacer 2, and large subunit ribosomal RNA
Rfam family: 5.8S ribosomal RNA (bases 1-120)
Source: RNAcentral